Molecule: ribosomal RNA, 402 nt
Filed under: uncultured bacterium
Lineage: Bacteria
Description: bacterial SSU rRNA
Rfam family: Bacterial small subunit ribosomal RNA
Source: RNAcentral
UGGGGAAUAUUGCACAAUGGGCGAAAGCCUGAUGCAGCAACGCCGCGUGGAGGAUGAAGGCCUUCGGGUUGUAAACUCUUGUCUUCUGGGACGAUAAUGACGGUACCAGAGGAGGAAGCCACGGCUAACUACGUGCCAGCAGCCGCGGUAAUACGUAGGUGGCAAGCGUUGUCCGGAUUUACUGGGCGUAAAGGAUGCGUAGGCGGAUAUUUAAGCGGGAUGUGAAAUACCCGGGCUCAACCUGGGUGCUGCAUUCCAAACUGGAUAUCUGGAGUGCGGGAGAGGAAAGUGGAAUUCCUAGUGUAGCGGUGAAAUGCGUAGAGAUUAGGAAGAACACCCGUGGCGAAGGCGACUUUCUGGACCGUAACUGACGCUGAGGCAUGAAAGCGUGGGGAGCAAACA